RNAcentral lists this ribosomal RNA (621 nucleotides) under uncultured bacterium. RNAcentral describes it as "bacterial SSU rRNA". It matches the Rfam family "Bacterial small subunit ribosomal RNA", at positions 50 to 669 of the family's 1533-position model. The record is from RNAcentral.
UCGACUGCAGUCGAGCGGAACGACAAAAGCUUGCUUUUGGGCGUCGAGCGGCGAACGGGUGAGUAACGCGUAGGAAUCUGCCCGAUAGCGGGGGAUAGCCCGGGGAAACCCGGAUUAAUACCGCAUACACCCCACGGGGGAAAGGCCGGGAUCUUCGGACCGGUCGCUAUCGGAGGAGCCUGCGUUGGAUUACUUGUUGGUAGGGUAACGGCCUACCAAGGCCACGAUCCAUAGCUGGUCUGAGAGGAUGAUCAGCCACACUGGAACUGAGACACGGUCCAGACUUCUACGGGAGGCAGCAGUCGGGAAUAUUGGACAAUGGGGGAAACCCUGAUCCAGCCAUGCCGCGUGUGUGAAGAAGGCCUUCGGGUUGUAAAGCACUUUCAGUAGUGAGGAAGGGACCUGGGUGAAUACCCCGGGUUCUUGACGUUAGCUACAGAAGCAGCACCGGCUAACUCCGUGCCAGCACCGCGGUAAUACGGAGGGUGCGAGCGUUAAUCGGAAUUACUGGGCGUAAAGCGCGCGUAGGCGGUUUGGUAAGUCGGAUGUGAAGCCCAGGGCUUAGCCUUGGAACUGCAUUCGAUACUGCCUGACUAGAGUAUGGUAAGGGGGGUAGAAUUC